UGAACGCUAGCGACAGGCUUAACACAUGCAAGUCGAGGGGGUAACAGGGUAGCAAUACCGCUGACGACCGGCGCACGGGUGAGUAACGCGUAUGCAACCUGCCUAUAACUGGGGAAUAGCUCCCUGAAAGGGGAAUUAACACCGCAUAACACUAUUGAUUCGCAUGGAUUGGUAGUUAAAUGUAGCGAUACAGGUUAUAGAUGGGCAUGCGUGACAUUAGCUAGUUGGUGAGGUAACGGCUCACCAAGGCUACGAUGUCUAGGGGUUCUGAGAGGAAGGUCCCCCACACUGGUACUGAGACACGGACCAGACUCCUACGGGAGGCAGCAGUGAGGAAUAUUGGUCAAUGGGCGCAAGCCUGAACCAGCCAUGUCGCGUGCAGGAAGACUGCCCUAUGGGUUGUAAACUGCUUUUAUAGUAGAAGAAACACAUCUACGCGUAGAUGUCUGCCAGUAUACUAUGAAUAAGCAUCGGCUAACUCCGUG
Molecule: ribosomal RNA, 485 nt
Filed under: uncultured bacterium
Lineage: Bacteria
Description: bacterial SSU rRNA
Rfam family: Bacterial small subunit ribosomal RNA
Source: RNAcentral